GAAGAAAGUUAUGGGGAUUUAGGAUUGAAAUUUUUAUGGGGACUUAGAGGAAGGUUCAAAGAAACUUUUGUAUAAAAUUAGAAGGUUCUGGGGUAAUUAGGGCCAGAGUUAUGGA
This is a long non-coding RNA of Cotesia glomerata, 115 nucleotides long. RefSeq lists it as uncharacterized. The record is from RefSeq and is a predicted model, not a curated record. NCBI's taxonomy places the organism in Eukaryota, Metazoa, Arthropoda, Insecta, Hymenoptera, Braconidae. The transcript has 3 exons.